GAGGGUGGGGGGAGCAGGCUGGAGCCCCACAGGCUGGGGGCUGUGAUCACAGAGGCGUGCUAGCCCCGGGCUGGGGGCCAGCUAGACCAGGAACACCAGGGACAGCUCGCUAAGCUGCUUUCUCAGCGAUUUUUCUCCCCAGACACAAAGUGGGCAGCUGAUGACACACUUGGGCAGUGACUUUCCCCCAGGGGCUGGGGUGCUGGAUGUCAUGUAUGAAUCCCCUUUCACACUGCUGUCCUGUGGCUAUGACACCUAUGUUCGCUACUGGGACCUCCGCACCAGUGUCCGGAAAUGUGUCAUGGAGUGGGAGGAGCCCCACGACAGCACCCUGUACUGCCUGCAGACAGAUGGCAACCACCUUCUGGCCACAGGUUCCUCCUACUACGGUGUUGUACGGCUGU
RNAcentral lists this small RNA (404 nucleotides) under Pan troglodytes (chimpanzee). RNAcentral's name for it is "processed transcript". The record is from RNAcentral. Lineage: Eukaryota; Metazoa; Chordata; Mammalia; Primates; Hominidae.